GAUGAACGCUGGCGGCGUGCCUAAUACAUGCAAGUCGAGCGAACAGAUAAGGAGCUUGCUCCUUUGACGUUAGCGGCGGACGGGUGAGUAACACGUGGAUAACCUACCUAUAAGACUGGGAUAACUUCGGGAAACCGGAGCUAAUACCGGAUAACAUAUUGAACCGCAUGGUUCAAUAGUGAAAGGCGGCUUUGCUGUCACUUAUAGAUGGAUCCGCGCCGUAUUAGCUAGUUGGUAAGGUAACGGCUUACCAAGGCAACGAUACGUAGCCGACCUGAGAGGGUGAUCGGCCACACUGGAACUGAGACACGGUCCAGACGCCUACGGGAGGCAGCAGUAGGGAAUCUUCCGCAAUGGGCGAAAGCCUGACGGAGCAACGCCGCGUGAGUGAUGAAGGUCUUCGGAUCGUAAAACUCUGUUAUCAGGGAAGAACAAAUGUGUAAGUACCUGUGCACAUCUUGACGGUACCUGAUCAGAAAGCCACGGCUAACUACGUG
This 497-nucleotide ribosomal RNA is filed under the name uncultured bacterium. RNAcentral's name for it is "partial 16S ribosomal RNA". It matches the Rfam family "Bacterial small subunit ribosomal RNA", at positions 28 to 507 of the family's 1533-position model. The record is from RNAcentral.